CCUAGUCUAUCAAAAGGGGUCCUCUCUCUUGGAUAUCCUAUGAUCAAUUUUUUUGCUAGUUUUUAUUUUUAGAGUCUCUUCUCCUCCUCCUCCUCUCUUCCUCCUCUAGAUCCUCUCUUGCUUUAGAGUGUCCAAAUUGCUUGAAGAAGAAGAAAGAAACCAGCUAUCAAAGUUGCUUGCAGACUAGCACCUCUAAGUCCCUAAUCUGCGCCAGUCUUUGCAUAAAUUUUUUUGUAGAGGUCAGAUGAUUUCGUGUGGCCAUGAGUGAUCUGUGAAACACCCUCUCCAAGUGUUGGACUAAAGAAGAUCAAAAUUCAAUUGGUUUGGAAAUCAUUUCUAAUCUAUUUUGAUCAUAUUGUUAGAUCUAAUAGUUAGAUCUAAUAGUUAGAUCUAGGAUUUCAGCAUCGAUGAGAUCGAUAUGUGUUUUUGUUUUCAGAUCUAAAGUACAUCAUAUUUCAUAUGUUCUUUAUGAUAUGAUAGUAUAGAUUAGAUCUUAUGCAUGUAAUUUAAAUUAAAUAGUUUAAUCUUAUUCUUUCGCUACACAAAAAUUUUGAAAUUGCAUGCAUAGCACUACCUAUGUUUCC
Molecule: long non-coding RNA, 584 nt
Filed under: Elaeis guineensis (African oil palm)
Lineage: Eukaryota; Viridiplantae; Streptophyta; Magnoliopsida; Arecales; Arecaceae
Description: long non-coding RNA (EGUI_LNC052731)
Source: RNAcentral